This is a long non-coding RNA of Bradysia coprophila, 693 nucleotides long. NCBI's taxonomy places the organism in Eukaryota, Metazoa, Arthropoda, Insecta, Diptera, Sciaridae. The record is from RefSeq and is a predicted model, not a curated record.
CUGAAAUGCUGGAAGUCUCAGCUGUCCAUCGACACCACACUUACAAUGACUCAUGUCAACAUGCUUGAAUUGUAAAAUCUUUGAAAACACCGCUGGGAUGAUUUGUUUGAUUAACAAAGUUAUAGAGACAACAGAAAAACCAAAAAAACAUCGAUAUUUUGCUCUUCAUAUAGAUAUUUCAAAUCAUGCACAAAAUUUCGUCGUAGAAGGACACAUUUCACUUAUUCGCGAAACAUGUCGGCACUGUUGACAUGAGUCAUUGCAAGUGUGGUGUCGAUGGACAGCUGAGACUUCCAGCAAUUCAGAAUUACCCAUUUUAACAACAAAAAAUUUGAAAAAGUGGGUUUCAGGUGCCUCUGAACCUCGCAAAUUUUACCAAAUAUGAGGGAAAAACUUUGAGCUACUGUCGGCCUCUACGUAGACUCUCUACAAAAAUAAUUUUUUGGUAAUUGGUAAAGGAGAUGUUGCUCUACUACGAGAACUAUUUGUUAGCUUCAUCCCUCAAGUAUCCACGCCUGUAUGACUGUUUGAAAAUCACGUUUUUUAAACUUUAGCGUGUCUCUGCCGGCUUCCCUUGCACUAAUGGUAAAAUUUUUUUGUAUAAUUGUUAUUAGAAUUUCAGGCACUACCGAUUGCAACCAUAACCAGUUUUCCACCACUCUCUAUGUAGACAGGAUGGGCUAUGCACCACUG